This 883-nucleotide ribosomal RNA is filed under the name Cadophora sp. RNAcentral describes it as "partial large subunit ribosomal RNA". It matches the Rfam family "Eukaryotic large subunit ribosomal RNA", at positions 47 to 947 of the family's 3401-position model. The record is from RNAcentral. Lineage: Eukaryota; Fungi; Ascomycota; Leotiomycetes; Helotiales; Ploettnerulaceae.
UAAGCGGAGGAAAAGAAACCAUCAGGGAUUACCUCAGUAACGGCGAGUGAAGCGGUAACAGCUCAAAUUUGAAAGCUAGCUCUUUUAGGGUUCGCAUUGUAAUUUGUAGAAGAUGCUUCGGGUGUGGCCCCGGUCUAAGUUCCUUGGAACAGGACGUCAUAGAGGGUGAGAAUCCCGUAUGUGACUGGGUGCUUUCGCUCAUGUGAAGCUCUUUCGACGAGUCGAGUUGUUUGGGAAUGCAGCUCAAAAUGGGUGGUAAAUUUCAUCUAAAGCUAAAUAUUGGCCAGAGACCGAUAGCGCACAAGUAGAGUGAUCGAAAGAUGAAAAGCACUUUGGAAAGAGAGUUAAACAGUACGUGAAAUUGUUGAAAGGGAAGCGCUUGCAACCAGACUUGCGCGCUGAUGAUCAUCCGGGCUUCUGCCCGGUGCACUCGUCUGCGCUCAGGCCAGCAUCGGUUUCGGUGGUGGGAUAAAGGCCUUGGGAAUGUAGCUUCUUUCGGGGAGUGUUAUAGCCCUCGGUGCAAUGCCGCCUACCGGGACCGAGGACCGCGCUUCGGCUAGGAUGCUGGCGUAAUGGUUGUAAGCGACCCGUCUUGAAACACGGACCAAGGAGUCUAACAUCUAUGCGAGUGUUUGGGUGUCAAACCCAUACGCGUAAUGAAAGUGAACGGAGGUGAGAACCCUUAAGGGUGCAUCAUCGACCGAUCCUGAUGUCUUCGGAUGGAUUUGAGUAAGAGCAUAGCUGUUGGGACCCGAAAGAUGGUGAACUAUGCGUGAAUAGGGUGAAGCCAGAGGAAACUCUGGUGGAGGCUCGCAGCGGUUCUGACGUGCAAAUCGAUCGUCAAAUUUGCGUAUAGGGGCGAAAGACUAAUCGAACCAUCUAG